UACGAAGGGUGCUAGCGUUGUUCGGAAUGACUGGGCGUAAAGGGAGCGUAGGCGGUUGAGUACGUUUGGUGUGAAAGUCCUGGGCUUAACCUGGGGACUGCAUUGAAUACGGCUUGACUUGAGGUAUAGAGGGGAAGAUGGAAUUGUGUGUGUAGAGGUGAAAUUCGUAGAUAUACACAAGAACACCAGUGGCGAAGGCGGUCUUCUGGACGGUGACUGACGCUGAGGCGCGAAAGCGUGGGGAGCAAACGGG
RNAcentral lists this ribosomal RNA (253 nucleotides) under uncultured bacterium. RNAcentral's name for it is "partial 16S ribosomal RNA". It matches the Rfam family "Bacterial small subunit ribosomal RNA", at positions 524 to 776 of the family's 1533-position model. The record is from RNAcentral.